RNAcentral lists this microRNA precursor (87 nucleotides) under Tribolium castaneum (red flour beetle). RNAcentral's name for it is "mir-276 microRNA precursor family". It matches the Rfam family "mir-276 microRNA precursor family". The record is from Rfam by way of RNAcentral. Lineage: Eukaryota; Metazoa; Arthropoda; Insecta; Coleoptera; Tenebrionidae.
UUUUUGGUAGACCACUAGCGAGGUAUAGAGUUCCUACGUGAUUUUUCGGCUGUAGGAACUUCAUACCGUGCUCUUGGAUUUACCGAC